RNAcentral lists this ribosomal RNA (483 nucleotides) under uncultured bacterium. Its description in RNAcentral is "partial 16S ribosomal RNA". It matches the Rfam family "Bacterial small subunit ribosomal RNA", at positions 28 to 507 of the family's 1533-position model. The record is from RNAcentral.
GACGAACGCUGGCGGCGUGCUUAACACAUGCAAGUCGAACGCUGAAGCUCAGCUUUUGUUGGGUGGAUGAGUGGCGAACGGGUGAGUAACACGUGAGUAACCUGCCCCCUUCUUUGGGAUAACGCCCGGAAACGGGUGCUAAUACUGGAUAUUCACUGGUCUUCGCAUGGGGGUUGGUGGAAAGGGUUUUUCUGGUGGGGGAUGGGCUCGCGGCCUAUCAGCUUGUUGGUGGGGUGAUGGCCUACCAAGGCUUUGACGGGUAGCCGGCCUGAGAGGGUGACCGGUCACAUUGGGACUGAGAUACGGCCCAGACUCCUACGGGAGGCAGCAGUGGGGAAUAUUGCACAAUGGGCGCAAGCCUGAUGCAGCGACGCCGCGCGAGGGAUGGAGGCCUUCGGGUUGUGAACCUCUUUCGCUCAUGGUCAAGCCGCAACAAUGGUUGUGGUGAGGGUAGUGGGUAAAGAAGCGCCGGCUAACUACGUG